AGGGUGUUGGUGGUGAUGGUGGUGACGAUGGUGGUAGCCUGCCGGGAGCAGGGGUUAGCCUGUGUCCAGCGCUUAGCGCUGAACCUAUGCCUGGGAGUACUAGCUGUGAUUGUUUUUUUGCUAUCACACACCUGACAGUCGGCACCAAAUCUGGAAGCUCCUCCUUCCCAGACGUGUGACCUUGAGGAGAUCAACACCCUCUGGAACUAUUUCAUCUACAUAGUGAAGACCCAGUGACACUUCAGGACCCUUUCAGCACUGACAUUUUAUUAUUCUAAUAAAUUUUGAUAUGAACCAUUCUACAGGAGCAGUGGAACAUCUUGCACAUUUUAGUUUUCCUAUUGGAGCUGUAAGAAGUUCAGUUCAGUCCAAUUCAGUCGCUCAGUCGUGUCCAACUCUUUGCGACCCCAUGAACCUGCAGCACGCAAAGCCUCCCUGUCCAACACCAACU
RNAcentral lists this long non-coding RNA (451 nucleotides) under Capra hircus (goat). Its description in RNAcentral is "lncRNA (ENSCHIG00010006778.1)". The record is from RNAcentral. Lineage: Eukaryota; Metazoa; Chordata; Mammalia; Artiodactyla; Bovidae.